This 318-nucleotide ribosomal RNA is filed under the name Triticum aestivum (bread wheat). RNAcentral describes it as "partial small subunit ribosomal RNA". Lineage: Eukaryota; Viridiplantae; Streptophyta; Magnoliopsida; Poales; Poaceae. The record is from RNAcentral.
AUGUUUUUUUUCUUCAUUUUGCGAAUCGUGAAAUCUGUAUUUGUUUCCGCACACUGGGUUCCAAAAGGGUGCAUUCGUCAUGCUGUAAAAGAAUUUGGUCGCCGAUACAGCAUCUGGAUCUUCUUUUUUCAACAACCUUGCUGUGAGCCAACUACCUUGGCAUUUCUGCUGGCGAGUGACAACCUUAUUGCUGCUUCUUCCAUUCAUUUUUCUUUUCUGACUGGGGGCGCUUUGGUGCUUCUCCAGCUGCAACGCCAGCGUUGCCUGCCUCUAGAACUUAGGAAGGCAAGGCAGUGCGGUACCCAACCGUAUUGUUAG